UAACAGACUGUGGUUAAUAUGCAGCUGGGAAAGAGACUCGAGAUAGAUACUCAAGUGUUUUCGAGGCAUACACUAGAAGAACUGGCUUAGGAACCGGCCUUCAAGCUGAUCGGUCUAGUAGACCGAGAACCUCAGAGAAUGUUCUUGCAUCUAGAGACGCGCUAAACCAGGAGAGAUCAAUGACUUCAUCUAGGAACCAGAGUUCUUCGAGAAAAGCAGUAGCGGGAUCAAGUGUUCGAGCUACUUCCUCAGCUGAUUUCGCAGAGAACCGAACCAGCAGCAGGCUCGUCCCAAGCAACGGUCGUUCCUCGACAACGCAGAGGACACAGUUUGCGCCUUCUUCUUCCUCAAAGGCUGCACCGUCGAGAAUUCCUCCUGACGUUACACUAGAGUUUCUCAGUAUUGGGAACGGGAAGAGGAAGUGAUGGAUGAUAAUUUAUUUAUCCAUCUUUUGUUUGACAAGUUAUAUUACCUUUCAUCCUCCUGGUUGAUUACACUGAUACAGUGUGGAUAUUAAUAUUUUCGAAUUAUGUUUUAUUAGCCGUAUAAACAACAUGGUAUUAAAUAUUAAUACUCAGCGUUAUAACUUAUUAUGCUUUAUUUCAUCUC
Brassica oleracea var. oleracea is the source of this 609-nucleotide long non-coding RNA. RefSeq lists it as uncharacterized. The record is from RefSeq and is a predicted model, not a curated record. NCBI's taxonomy places the organism in Eukaryota, Viridiplantae, Streptophyta, Magnoliopsida, Brassicales, Brassicaceae. The transcript has 2 exons.